This 2100-nucleotide long non-coding RNA is filed under the name Marmota monax (woodchuck). Lineage: Eukaryota; Metazoa; Chordata; Mammalia; Rodentia; Sciuridae. The record is from RNAcentral.
GCUAUAUUUCAAGAGCUAGACUGGAGCAGGGUGAGGGAAGUCAGGUGCGAGCCCAUGGCAGAGGCCAUACUCUGGCCCCUCGGUCCAGCCCCGGGCCACAGGAGCCCUGGACAUGCACGGGCAUGCGGCCAUCUCCCUUCUGCCCACUGAUGCAGACCAGAGGCCCAGCUGCCUGCAGCCACCGAGUGAGCCUCCCCAGGUUAUGUGGUCGGGGUGGGGCCACUGUAGGGGCAGCAGGAGGGCUGGGGGGAGGAGAGGAGCACCCCACCCUGUAGGGGAAACAGGGGCUCCUAAGCCUGGAACCAGCCCUCAUGCCCAGUGCAGAUUCCAGAAAGACCUCCCACGACUCGGUUUCCUCAUCUACAAAAUGGGGUGAACCAUGCUACCCGCCUAUCCAGAGAAUGAUUGAAAGGACCUCUGAAACUGUCUAGGAGGCCCAGGUGGACAGGUGCGGUGGGGCCAGCACCAGCCCCUCCUGAUCACUCCGUCUUCACACUGCCUGGCCUGAGGGGCCCUCCUAGACGACGAUCUGUUUGGUGCUCUUCCCUGAAAAACCCUUGUUUAGGGCAAGUGAGACUCUCCUUCCCCUGAACCCCACCAAAUGGGUGCCCCCUGCUCACCAUCUUUACCAACCUGGCUGCUUGGAGAACUCCUACUCACCCUGCAAAACUCCAGUGAGAGGUCCCCGAGGGAGGGCCUAGUUCUGAGGACCCAGGAGCAGACUGUGGAGGCGUGACUGGUUCCCAGGUCAGGGCCACCACACUUAUGCUGUCCCUGGUACUUGGUAGAUCAGAACCUGGGAUGCACUAGAGGGCAGGGGUGUUGUUGGGGACAGAGUUAGCAGGAAGGCUUUCUGACUCGGGACUUAAACCCGACCUUAGCAGUCAUAGGAGUUCAAGGAGGGAAGCAGGACAUGGGGGGCUGGGGCAGCAGUUUUAAAUAUGGCUGCAGGUCCUUGGUCCUCUUCCCACUGAGGGGUGGACCCUGUGGCCUCCCCUCCCAAAUCUGGGCAGCUUUAAGACAACUUCCACCAAUGGAUUGUGGCUGAGGUGCUGCCAGAAACUCCCAGAGCCGAGCCCUGACUUCUACCCCAGGUCCAGGUCACCAGGCUGAGAAGCAACAGCUGCCCUGAGACUCGGCCUGAGGAGCUCCGGGGGCUGGAGACACCCCGACCCAGCCAGUGUGGAGCAGGGCGGCCUUUUCUCCACGGUGCCUCUAAGGAUUCCUGACCCACAGAACUCCUUGUAACCAGAACAGGCCAAAGCUCCCCACUUCCUGGUGCUAACCCAGCCACACACCAGAAGCGGACUGGGGGGUCAGCCCCAGGAGCAGACCCUGCCGGAGGCCCCCUGCCUCCCCAGCCCCACCUGGCCUGCGCCGGGGCCUCGGGGCAGGAUUGCAGCGGGUGUGCAGAUGUGCAGCCUUGGCCCCUCCCCAAACUCCCGUGGACCUUUGCAGCUUGAACGACUGUGGACCCAGAGGCCUCAGGAAGAGUCCAGAUCCUGUGUGGCUGUCUGUCCCUCUGCGCCACUGCAUCUAACCCAUGUAACAGGACACUGAACCCAUAAUCUCUGUGGUCCCUCCUGGCUCCUGAUCCCCUUCACUGACAGUGUGUCCCCAAUGCUUCUGUGCCCAUAACACUGUUCCUGUGGCCAUGACCAUAAUUUCACCAUUAUAUGCUCAGCCCAGGCACUUGGUCAGCCCACAGGAUGGACACCAUUGGGGUUUUCUGAAUGAAAGUAUGAAAGAGUCCAUGAUGGAAUGAGCACAUGAACAAACAAAGACCUCUUGCUCUACCUGUUUGCCUUGGCAGUGUCCCCCACACACGGACGCCCUUCCCGUCCAGUAGCCUGGAGCACACACACUCACAGGCCUCGCACAAGGGAGCUCACCACCUGAGUACAGCCUGUUUUUGGUGGCAGCUGUGAUGAGGAGUCUGUCCCUGAGCCCCACAGGGAGGUGACUGAAGGAGGACAGAGGUGGAGGCAGAGGAAGGAGCCCUUGGUGCCCCUGACCCACAGCCUGCAGCGAGGGGCUGCAGAAUACCCGAAGUCCUCUCUGCAUCCAGCCAGGCAGGGUCCCAGGGCGGGCAGGGCAAGG